This 321-nucleotide ribosomal RNA is filed under the name Triticum aestivum (bread wheat). RNAcentral's name for it is "partial small subunit ribosomal RNA". Lineage: Eukaryota; Viridiplantae; Streptophyta; Magnoliopsida; Poales; Poaceae. The record is from RNAcentral.
CCCUGAUCGACUCAACACUGGCUUGCUCCGGGAUCCAGCACUGUCAAAGUGAAUGUUGAUGGAGCAGUAGCCCGAAUCAUGAGGGGUGGAGCUGUGGCUGCACUAUGUCGAGAUGAGAAUGGCAACUACCUGGGAUCCUCGGCAGUGGUCUACGGAGGCAUCAUUGAUCCCACGAUCUUAGAAACCAUUGCUUGUAGAGAGGGACUUGCUUUGGCGGAUGAUCUGGAUGCUCAUGAUGUGGUGCUGGCUUCCGAUUGCGAGGGAGUAGUCAAAGACAUCAACUGGGGAAACAAGUGGUCCGAACCCAGCUAUCACACAUGA